This is an RNA transcript of Bombyx mori (domestic silkworm), 5404 nucleotides long. It is a transcript of the gene named elongin-B, with no coding region annotated. The transcript is spliced from 5 exons. Lineage: Eukaryota; Metazoa; Arthropoda; Insecta; Lepidoptera; Bombycidae. The record is from RefSeq and is a predicted model, not a curated record.
UACUACUAGUCUACUACUUAAGUUAUUAUCUAUGGUAUUGUCGUUGACUGAAAUGGAAGUCUGAAGUUGUAGUUUUCGAUAAUUUCAUUUCGUACGCCUUGUAGCAUUUUCUUUUAUACAUAAAGGAUAUUGUCCUUAACAAAAUAACAUAAUGGAUGUCUUUUUAAUGAUAAGGCGAAAAAAGCUUACUGUCUUCACUGAUGCGAAGGAAACCACUACAGUAUUAGAGUUGAAGAAAAUGAUUGAAGGUAUCCUAAAGGUACCUCCUCCAAGUCAAAUGCUGUUCAACAAGGACAGCCAGCUCAUGGAAGAUGAGAAGACCUUGGCUGAAUUUGGCCUGACCUCUAACACAGCAAAGGCUCACUGUCCAGCACCAAUUGGAUUAGCUUUGAGGAAGGAGAAUGGUGAAUUUGAGGCACUGGAACUUACCCCGUAUUCUUCACCCCCCGACUUGCCAGAUGUUAUGAAAUCUCAAGAGACCAAUGGACAGGAACAGGUAUGACGGCUAUUUCAGAGCAUUUCAGUUUCGUACAAAUUUUUAGAACCCUAUGUGCCAGUAUGAGCACUUAAGUUCAUGUUAUUAUAGUCAUUGAUCAUAAAAGGAGGCCUAAUUAUCGCCAAUCAGACCGCUAACAUAUCGCAUAUCUAAGAAAAUAACAGUCAGGUCAGAGCAUCCAAGAGUAUGCUCAAUGAAGAGCUUAGCCGUUGGUUUUUUUUUUUAUUGUCCUGGUAGACAGACGGUCCUGAUGGUGAGUAGUUGCCGUCGCUCGUGGACGACAGCAAUGUCAGAGACAGAACUAAGCUGCUGACUGCCGAAAAUUUACAAUAGGAAUUUUAUUUUGUGACUUUUUUUUUACCCUGCACCCAAAAUAUUAACACAAGAGUCCCGUGUGCUCUGGUACCGCGCCAACCAGGCAUAUUCGCUUCACGGAGUAUCAGCUUGCGAAAUCGAUAAGUCUACGUCUUAGCUUUACAAAUGAAAAUUGUUCCCCCUUUAUUUCGGGUUAAUAAUACCACAGGAAGAGUAAUAGAAAAAUAUUGCUCUAUUAAAUUCGUAGAAAUAUUCAAAUGUCACGUGUAAAGCUGGUAAUGUAUAAGUAAAGAUACAUCAUUAUUAAAUAAUCAACAGAAAAAAACAAUGAAAAGCAUGGCAGAAAUAUUUAAAUUUAGUUCUGCUUGUAAAUCAGGUGUUGCAAGUCAUACAUUGGCCAUUUUCCGUAAUUGGAAAUAGUAAUUAAAUAAAAAACUUAAUUUUCCUGAAAAUUCCACUUAAACAAUGCAAAGGUGAACGAAUCUGAAAUGAUUUAAUCGCAAAAGUAUUCCUUGUAAACUGAAUCUACAAUAGAAUUUGUACUUUAAUGAAUUUUGUGAUGAUAUACAACGUGUUACAAAAUACCCCUUAAAAAAUAUAAUUAAUUAUCAAAGCCAAAACGUUGUCAACCCUAGUAAGCUGUCAUGUCAGGGAACCAGAUUAUUAAACAGAAAGGCCUACGUACCUAUUUUACCUAAUAAUUGUCUACUUUAAUAGUUUUUUCUAUUUUUCAUUCAUAAAUGUUUGCUACCUUAAUACAAGAAUGUCAUUAACUGAAGUACUGACUUAAAAAAAUGUCAAGUUAGAAAAAAAACUUGAACUUCUUUUUGUGGGGUUAUGUGAAGGACAGAGUGUAUUAAUUCGAUUGCCUAGCGGUUUCCGAGAUGGAACAGCGUGUUAGAUCGGCAUUCGCAUCAAUAACACCGAUGAUAGUGCGAAAUCCCACACAAGCCAUAUCCCGACGAGUGAGGUUGUUUAUUGAGCAAGGCGGUGUGCACUCACUUUGAGCCGUAUAUGCAAAUUUGACGUUUGUUAUGAAAAACUGUCCGUUUAGGUAUUUUCGUUAGGUCUUUUAAAUUUUUUGUCGUUCCGAGAAUUAGGUAGUAAUGUAGGUAGGUACAUUCUGCGUAGUUUACUCUUUAAUUUUAAUUGAAAUAGGGUUUGCACAUCAGGGUUUUUUUUUUUUUUUAAUUAUUAUGUUAUACAGCGUUACUACGGUUCUUAAAUAUUGUGAAUGAACUCGUUAUAUGGGGCCUCCAUUUAACCUCCUUUCGGCUUUACAGGUAGUUUUGUAACACCAUGUGUACCAUUUUAAAAAUUAUUAAAUACCUUUUUUACUGCUUAAUGAAAUCUACAGUAAAUGCUAAAGCUAUGAACAUAAACAUAUUCAUUCAUCUCUAUAAUGUGUUUCACUAAACUUAUUGUGAGGUGAACUAGGAUAGCAGAUAGACAGACCGAUAAAAAGCAUUGAGUAACCAUUGCAUUGUAUGAGCCACUGUCGCGAUACAUCGUCGUUCGCUUGCGAUUCGUACUACUAAGACUGUACGUCUUCUUGAAGUUAAAUCACAAAAAUGUUUUCUUAUUUUCAUUCGAAAUUAUUUCAGAUGGAUCAACAUUAAACGAAAAACGAGGCUGUGAUUCGGACGUAGACGAUACAGACACCAACUUUGUAUCAUAACGAUUUUGUAUAUUUAAAAAAAAACCAGUUCAGGAUCUGAACAUUUAGCCCGGCCCUUACGAUCCGGCAGUCGGGUACAAAACAUUAAACAAUUUUAUUUUUUAUUCACGAUAAAAUAUUUUGUUAUUAAUAUAUCGAUUUGUGUUCCGUUCAACGUUUUGUUACGCUUCGAUUUAAAUAUUCCUUCUACUGUUUCAACAAAUAUAUAUAUAUAUAUAUAUAAAUACAUGAUGCAUAGAACUCUACCUCCAUUAUUAUUUGGCCUUUCAAAAUUGGCUUAUUAAUUCAUUUGAUAGCACUCGUGGUAUUAACAUGUAAACAGACCUGGUUUUGUCUGUUCAUAUGUAACGUGUCAGAGGCGACCCCAGAGUGACCAGAGUUCAAUGUGUUCCCAAUCUUUUAUUGAGUCAUUGUGUUCACCAUUGGCAACAUUAUAUGUUUACGCCGGGACAAAGUAAGUUACAUUGUGUAAUAGAAAGAUUUAAUUAAUUCAGGAAGUAUAAGUUUAGUUAAGAGUCCACAAUUCGACUGUUUGCGCAUAGACAAUAGUAGGAACUUUUUUUCUUUUUUGUAAUUAGUUUCCGGAUCCGUAGACGUAAUGUCUGACGUCCUAAAGCCACAUUAAUAGCAUUUAAAAUCGAUUUACAAACAUAAAAUAGUAAUAAAUAUUCAAAAAUGCUUUAUGUCAGACAAGAACAAGUUUUGACUAUAUGUAACGGUAUUAUCAGUAACAAAAAGUGUAGUUUUGUAAACUAAGUCAUAAAGGCUGUGUGGAAUAUGACUAAAAUAACUACUUUAUCGUAACAUUAUAUAAAUUGGAAACAAUUGGAUAUUCACGUUAUGUUGCUUCUAUCAUUUAAGAUUUAAAUCUACAGCGAUGUCUCAGGUAGGGUAGUUAAAAAAAACCAUUGUAGAAAUAUAAAAAAUUAAGCAUUGGUAUUAAUUACUCAUCGAAAAACAUUUGUAUCAUAAACAUAUUUAUUUGAAGUGAGCGAAGUUUGGGCAGUAUUGUAACAACUCGCUUAACACGCAUGGAUUAUAUUAUAAUAAUUGCUUAGUUUGUUAAUAAGCCGUAUAUUACGUUUUUACUAAUUUCACAUAACACCAUCUGCAAACGAAAAGAAAUUCAAAAUAAUUUAAUAAAACGGUAAAUAAAAUAAAGCGGUAGGCAGCGGCUUGGCUCUGCCCCUGGCAUUGCUGAAGUCCAUGGGCGACGGUAAUCACUCCACAUCAGGUGGGCCGUAUGCUCGUCUGCCUACAAGGGCAAUAAAAAAAAAAAUCGUAAAUAAAUUAACUUUUCAAACGAGUAUUUAUUUUUUGCUCAAUACGAAAUGCUUUUUGAGAAAAACUUGUAAUUACUCAAAUGUCACUUGAACGUUGGACUAAGUUUUUUUUUAAAUAGCUGUACCUAUUUAACUGAUAGAAUAGAUUAGCUAAUUUUUAUAGGGGGGGAAGAAUAAGGGGCUUUUUAUAUUGACGGUCUCUCUGCUACAUUCUAUGGUAUGUCUAAAGAAACAAAUCUUCAUUACUUCCUUUAUUUCGCGUUUCUGCAACAGAAAAAAAUGUUUAUUUUUUUUCUGUAUAUUUUGAAUUUUAUUUUUGUUUUGAUUUCUUUUUUUUUUUUGUUCAAUAAAAUCAGCAGAAUUCCUGGUGCAAUUCUUAAUUACCUGUCUAUAUUAACUUGUGAUUUUAACGGAUUUCUCUUCAGUUGCUGUGCGUUCACUGGAUAGCAUUGUUGAAAUCUGUAUUACCAAAUAAUUUUUUUAUCAUUUUUUAUUUUUGUUUCUAUUUAAUAAAAGUAAUAAGGUAGUAUCGUAUUAAUCGAAAUUGCACUUCGCACUUUAAAAAAAAAACUAUAAAUUCUUAAAAUAGGAUAGCAAAUUGAAUGGCCGCUACUACGGGUUUGACUAUGUGAAAAUAAUGUUUUUUAGUCGUAAUUAGUCGCGUCUGGUUGCUCGUAGUAGGGGCUGAUAUUUCCCCGAACUAGUCUAGUUCAAGAAAUGAGGCAACGUUGAGUUCGCUGUUACUUUUCAUGAACUUUAUUUACGUUUUGCUGGUACAUACGUCAAAUAUAAGGUUUCGUACUGAAUAAAUAUAAUAUAAUAACGGAAAUUAGCGCCAUUUUGACUUGCUACGUCUCGAUCGCACCGAUUAUGAUCCCAGCUUAGUGAUAUUGAUCCUUAAAUACAAAAGGUUACGAGCUAGACCAAUUUUGGAUUGGAUAGAUUCUGAUUUGUUUCCAAGUCGGUACCGCUUAGCUUAAAAUGGCCGAUUACUCAUUACUAAUUAGUUUUGAUAAAGAUUAAAUUGUAUACUUCUAAAACAUCAGUGAAUUUUAUAGCUUAUUUAUUCUGAAAUUAUAGUAAUAGUGACGAGACACUGGAGUUGACAGAACGAAAAAAAAACAUAUAGUACUAAAUAACUGCAUUUAAGGGUUACUUGACUAUAGCUCGGUUAUAUUGUUUAAGGUCAAGUCAUAAUAUUUUCUCUCUUGUACGUGAACUUGGCUUUUGAAGAUUUAACCAUUCGUAAUGUUUUCGACAAUUUACACAAAUGAAUUAUAUGCAAAGUCUGUAUCGGGAUUCGCGUUGGAUUCAUGCCAGAUUGGUACGAUGAACGCUCAGGCUAAAUCGCCCUAAUUUCCGUUAUUAUAUUGUUUAAGUAGGUACGAAAAAAGUAUAUGUAAUAUUUUAAGGUUACACUAAAUAACAAAAAAUGCAAUAAUGUUUUUACAUUGUAUAAAUGUGUGAUUAAUUAACUGUCUCCGAGUCGAUGUUUUUGUAUAACGAAAUUUAUAUAAUAAAAUACGAAACAGCAUAUUAAGACGAAUAAAACAUUGUAUAUUAUUUACUUAUAUGUGCAAAGCGAAUUCACAUGAUAUGAGCCAGCGGUAAAUAAAGCUGUUUUGAUUUGUA